GUGGAUAGACACUAUUCACCUUCUUCUUCCACAUCAUAAAGAAAACCUUAGUGCAAACCUUAGCUGCCACCUUCUUCAACCGCCGCUGCAAACUAGCCGUCUAUUCUUACCUUCUCUGUCUUCGUCCAAACCGUCCGAUCGUGUCUUCUCUGUGGACCACCAUGUGUUCGCUGUUCCUCCGUUGAUCGUCGCGUCUUCUCCAUCGGUCGCUGCGUGUUCGUCCAUUCGAUCGCGUCUUCUCCAUCGACCGUCAUGUUUUUGCUAUUUGUCCAUCGAUCGUCGCGUCUUCUCCGUCGGCCGCUGCAUGUUUGUUCGUUUGAUCGCGUCUUCUUCAUCAGCUGUCGAGCCCAACUCGUCGUAACAUUUUCGUAAGUCGUCUGAGCCAUAGACAAGCCAUCUGUUGUUCGUCUGUCGUCCGAUCGAGCCAAUCUCUAAGCUGUCAGCCAAACCUCAUCUUGACCAUUCUGUCAGGAUUAUACUUUUGGAUUAAGCUAAUCUCCAGGAAAAAAUAAGAAUUAUUUGGAUCGAUAUAUUGUCUACUUGAUUUUUUGGGUUGAAUUUGAUACAAGAGGAACUACAACACUUCCCAAUCCUCAUGGGCUUCCGAAGUUGCAAAAAAGAAGAAGCCUUUGUGGAGGGUAAUCAAGAUAUGGGGAUGAGGAUUUAGUAAAAGAAAGAGUUGAAGAAUCCAAGGACCAUGGUACCGAUCAAGUUCCCAUUUAUGCGUCAGUUUAAUUAGGUUAUGUCACACAUCCAUGUAAUAUUAUAGUUAAUUUAUCUUUUGGAUUAUUGUAAAACCUUUAUCGACA
Molecule: long non-coding RNA, 809 nt
Organism: Cucumis melo (muskmelon)
Lineage: Eukaryota; Viridiplantae; Streptophyta; Magnoliopsida; Cucurbitales; Cucurbitaceae
Exons: 5
Source: RefSeq, a predicted model, not a curated record